Molecule: ribosomal RNA, 766 nt
Filed under: uncultured Spartobacteria bacterium
Lineage: Bacteria; Pseudomonadati; Verrucomicrobiota; Spartobacteria
Description: bacterial SSU rRNA
Rfam family: Bacterial small subunit ribosomal RNA
Source: RNAcentral
GAGGUCUCAAGCGUUGUUCGGAUUCAUUGGGCGUAAAGGGUGCGUAGGCGGCGCGGUAAGUCGGGUGUGAAAUCUUGGAGCUUAACUCCGAAACUGCAUUCGAUACUGCCGUGCUUGAGGACUGGAGAGGAGACUGGAAUUUACGGUGUAGCGGUGAAAUGCGUAGAUAUCGUAAGGAAGACCAGUGGCGAAGGCGGGUCUCUGGACAGUUCCUGACGCUGAGGCACGAAGGCCAGGGGAGCAAACGGGAUUAGAUACCCCGGUAGUCCUGGCAGUAAACGGUGCACGUUUGGUGUGGGAGGAUUCGACCCCUUCUGCGCCGGAGCUAACGCGUUAAACGUGCCGCCUGGGGAGUACGGUCGCAAGAUUAAACUUCAAAGAAAUUGACGGGGGCCCGCACAAGCGGUGGAGUAUGUGGCUCAAUUCGAUGCAACGCGAAGAACCUUACCUGGCCUUGACAUGCAUCUCUAAGCGCGUGAAAGCGCGUGAGUCCCGAAAGGGACAAUUUGCACAGGUGCUGCAUGGCUGUCGUCAGCUCGUGUCGUGAGAUGUUGGGUUAAGUCCCGCAACGAGCGCAACCCCUGUGAACUGUUGCCACCGAGCCGUGAGGCUCGAGCACUCUGUUCAGACUGCCCCGCUCUAACGGGGAGGAAGGUGGGGACGACGUCAAGUCAGUAUGGCCCUUACGGCCAGGGCUGCACACGUACUACAAUGCCCAGUACAGAAGGAUCCUAGACCGCGAGGUGGAGGAAAUCACUAAAACUGG